Long non-coding RNA from Cryptomeria japonica (Japanese cedar), 3167 nucleotides. RefSeq lists it as uncharacterized. Lineage: Eukaryota; Viridiplantae; Streptophyta; Pinopsida; Cupressales; Cupressaceae. The record is from RefSeq and is a predicted model, not a curated record. The transcript has 2 exons.
UGAAAGCAGAUACGGCGGGCGACGACAAGGCUAGUGUUGGUCUUCUUUAAAAUAUCCCUCUUCAGUUGCUCGUCCACUAUUUUUGCACCUCCUUUCCUGCCAUUUUUAUGCCGAUCCAGCAUAUCUUCUCCAAGACUAUGCAGUAAUGGGAGAUGCCGACAGGGUUCAAGGACCGGUGGAGCUAUAUCAGUGUAGAUUCCCCAAAAUGGUGCUGCCACUAUUUGAAAUCUCAUUGUGUAGAUUGUAACCCCAAAAUGAGGUCGGCAAAAUAUCUGUUGGCCACAACAGUCGAGAUGACGGAGUCGAUCCAGUUGUUGGAGAUAUAAUCCCAACUACUCCCACCUAACUUAUCAUGUCAUAUUCUCUGCAUGUACAUCAAAUCUGCAGACUUGUCACAAACAGAGAUUGAAGCAGAUUUCCCUUGGAUUGGGAUGGAUUAUCAUGUACCCUGUCUUUUGUCAAAUCACAUUUUUUUAGGCAGUUCAAAAUAUAUUAUUUUAUGUAUGCCCUCUCUCCUCCGUGCUAUGUAGAAGGUCUAUAUAUUUCAUAGCUCUGCAUUUUGUGUGCACUCUCUCAUAGCAGAGUCCAACUCCAUAGAGCUGUUAAAUGUUAGCAGUUGAGUCUGUUAAAAGUUGUGUCUGAAGAAAGUCUAAAUGUAAGAGCAGAAGCUCUGUCAAUCAAUGUGAUACUUCAUUUUGUUGGAUAUAAAUCUGUUUGUCUUUAUUUUGCUACUCCCCUGUUUCCUUCAUGUGGUAUCAGAGCCUGGUUUGUGUAAGUUUUGAAGAUCAGCAUAUAGUGAGUCAUGUUUGCCGGGAGCAAGUGAUUAUUGUCCAUUAAGAAGAGUUCUGUUUUGCAAAUUCGGGUUCGCUUCCUUGCUGUGUCAAUCUGUCACCGCCAUGGAUUGGGUAGAGUAGAGCCUGGGCUUUAUUGGGUUAGUGUUGUUUUAUUAAAUGAGCAAGCUUGUGCCCUUGAGUGUUUUUUAUGGUUUGAAGUUGUAAAUGAUUUGUGAGGAAGGCGGAGCCUAUGAGGUGUGUUCUAAGCUAAGGAAGAAAUCACCAAUACAACGGAGGAUGCCAAAUCACUAGCUUUUUUAUUUGUUCCAGUCAAAGUCAUCCCAAGAGGUAGAUCGUGUGAAUAGUAUCAACCCAAGAGGCAGAUUUGUUUUGUAAGCCCCCAUUGUGUAUCAAGCUUCAGGAAAGCCUUGGAAGUCGCAUAUGCUCUCCUAGAGCCAUAAUAGUCAAGUUAGAUCGCAGCAUAUUUAUAGAAGAUAGCGAUAUGUCAAGAUUGCAACAGUCGGAUGAAUUGUAGAAGAUCGCCAGUGAAAGAGAUGCCGCUCAGAGGCUCCUGCCGCCAUAUCCCAGUCAUAAAGUUGAAGCUGCUAGGAAAACUUGCCACAUAAAGAUUGCAGUCGUUGAAGAACCUGGGAGUCUAGAUUCAGUUGUUGGAGCAAGUUGGAGAAGAGCUGAAGGGAGUCACCGAUAAAAAUUAUUGUUGAAGUGAAGAAGUCUGAGCAAUGUGUUUGGUCAAAAGUGAAAAAGUCACCAGUGAAAAGAACUCGCCACCAAGAAAAAGAAAGUUGUUAGAGGCUCAGAAGAUAAAUCUGUAUGUAGUUUUCAGUCAGUAAGAAGAUAUGAAGUAGAAUGUAAACAAUUUGAGCGGAGGAUGUCAUUGUACGUGUUGUUCUCUUAUAUCCAUUAUGAAAGUGGUUUUGUAAAAUGCAUAGUUUGAGAAGGGUGCAUGAGUAAGUGUCUACGCUGAGAGAGAGCCAAAAUUGAGUGGAAGAACAUUUUCAAAGUCUGCAGUACAAUGAAAGAGGAGUGAUAAAAGAGACCAGAGGAGGAUUUUUUUGUCAAAAGUCAUUAAAAGAUUGGUGAAGUUGUCAAUAGAUAAUGAAGAAAUAUUGUUGAAUGCAGCAGGAUUCUGUAGAUUGUGUAAACAUGUUUGAGGCCAGUAGAGCCCAUUAGAAUUGAGAUCCCCGAGCACCUACAAUGUGACUCUAUGGGAGGUGUUGAUGGUAAAAGUGAAUCACACCUGAAUCUACGAUGGACUGGUUACCAAGAGGGCCAGAGCUCAUGGUUAGAGCAUCCCAACAGGAUCAUGGGAUUUCCUAGGUUUGAUCUCUAAAAUUUGAAAGUUUUAGAUGCCAAAGCAUCAGUGGAAGAAGUGAAGAAUGAAAUUGGAAUUAUGAAAAUUGGUAGUUGUGAUUAAGGGGGAGUGUUGGAGAUAUAAUCCCAACUACUCCCACCUAACUUAUCAUGUCAUAUUCUCUAUAUGUACAUCAGAUCUGCAGACUUGUCACAAACAGAGAUUGAAGCAGAUUUCCCUUGGAUUUGGAUGGAUUAUCAUGUACCCUGUCUUUUGUCAAAUCACAUUUUUUUGGGCAGUUCAAAAUAUAUUAUUUUAUGUAUGCCCUCUCUCCUCCGUGCUAUGUAGAAGGUCUAUAUAUUUCAUAGCUCUGCAUUUUGUAUGCACUCUCUCAGAGCAGAGUCCAGCUCCAUAGAGCUGUUAAAUGUUAGCAGUUGAGUCUCUGUUAGAAGUUGUGUCUGAAGAAAGUCUAAAUGUAAGAGCAGAAGCUCUGUCAAUCAAUGUGAUACUUCAUUUUGUUGGAUAUAAAUCUGUUUGUCUUUAUUUUGCUACUCCCCUGUUUCCUUCACCAGUCUGUCUCAUUACAAUCGAAUGGUUAAUAAAUAUCUACCAGGGCUCCGAAGAUGUAGACGCAGAGACUGGUGUGCACUGGUCAAUAGCGUUUUGGGGAUCAGGUUGAGUUUGCGGACUCACUCCAGAAGCGGACACAAAUCUACGGAAAGGAAGGGGACAGAUUCGUUCCAAAUCGUUUCGAAUGGACCGAACACCAGACCCAUCUUAGGAAAGAUCUCAUUGACAAGUUUGAGGAGUUGAGGUAAGGAACCCAAAUACAUUCCAUUGAAGGUAAGGCUAAUAGGACUGCCUCCGAACACAAAGACACGGAUAUAGAGAUCCUCGGGGGCAAACGGUACAACAGAUUGCCAUCAUUCUACAAGCUCUGUCACGUUAUCGUUUCCGGUUAUUGUUUCCGGUUGUAGUUAUUCUAGCUCCAAAACGACAUCUUGUUGAGUUGUCAUAGUUGAGAAAUAUUUUGGGAAUUAUAGAGUAUAUUGCAGAUUAUAAAAGUUUUGUUUUCAUGUUCA